GAUGAACGCUGGCGGCGUGCCUAAUACAUGCAAGUCGAGCGAAUGGAUUAAGAGCUUGCUCUUAUGAAGUUAGCGGCGGACGGGUGAGUAACACGUGGGUAACCUGCCCAUAAGACUGGGAUAACUCCGGGAAACCGGGGCUAAUACCGGAUAACAUUUUGAACCGCAUGGUUCGAAAUUGAAAGGCGGCUUCGGCUGUCACUUAUGGAUGGACCAGCGUCGCAUUAGCUAGUUGGUGAGGUAACGGCUCACCAAGGCAACGAUGCGUAGCCGCCCUGAGAGGGGGGACGGCCACGCUGGGACUGAGACACGGCCCAGACUCCUACGGAAGGAAGCAGUAGGGAAUCUUCCUCAAUGGACGAAAGUCUGACGGAGCAAGGCCGCGUGAGUGAUGAAGGCUUUCGGGUCGUAAAACUCUGUUGUUAGGGAAGAACAAGUGCUAGUUGAAUAAGCUGGAACCUUGACGGUACCUAACCAGAAAGCCACGGCUAACUACGUGCCAGCAGCCGCCGUAA
Molecule: ribosomal RNA, 515 nt
Filed under: uncultured bacterium
Lineage: Bacteria
Description: partial 16S ribosomal RNA
Rfam family: Bacterial small subunit ribosomal RNA
Source: RNAcentral